GGGGAAUAUUGGUCAAUGGGCGCAAGCCUGAACCAGCCACGCCGCGUGAGUGAUGAAGGCCUUCGGGUUGUAAAGCUCUGUGGGGAGGGACGAAAACGGUCCGGAAGAAACGACGGAUCCUUGACGGUACCUCCUUAGCAAGCACCGGCUAACUCUGUGCCAGCAGCCGCGGUAAUACAGAGGGUGCGAACGUUGCUCGGAAUUACUGGGCGUAAAGCGCGUGUAGGCGGGACGAUAAGUCGGAAGUGAAAUCCCCGGGCUCAACCCGGGAACUGCUUUCGAAACUGCCGUCCUCGAGUACCGGAGAGGGUGGCGGAAUUCCUGGUGUAGAGGUGAAAUUCGUAGAUAUCAGGAGGAACACCGGUGGCGAAGGCGGCCACCUGGACGGUCACUGACGCUGAGACGCGAAAGCGUGGGGAGCAAAC
Molecule: ribosomal RNA, 425 nt
Filed under: uncultured bacterium
Lineage: Bacteria
Description: bacterial SSU rRNA
Rfam family: Bacterial small subunit ribosomal RNA
Source: RNAcentral